RNAcentral lists this transfer RNA (64 nucleotides) under Blasticotoma sp. 'minuta'. RNAcentral's name for it is "tRNA-Glu". The record is from RNAcentral. Lineage: Eukaryota; Metazoa; Arthropoda; Insecta; Hymenoptera; Blasticotomidae.
AUUUAUAUAAUUUAAAAAAAAUAUUACAUUUUCAUUGUAAAUUUAAGAAAAUUCUUUAUAAAUU